CUCUCGGCCUUAGCGCCAUUUUUUUGGAAACCUCUGUGCCAUGAGAGCCAAGUGGAGGAAGAAGCGAAUGCGCAGGCUGAAGCGCAAAAGAAGAAAGAUGAGGCAGAGGUCCAAGUAAACCGCUAGCUUGUUGCACCGUGGAGGCCACAGGAGCAGAAACAUGGAAUGCCAGACGCUGGGGAUGCUGGUACAAGUUGUGGGACUGCAUGCUACUGUCUAGAACUUGUCUCAAUGGAUCUAGAACUUCAUCGCCCUCUGAUCGCCGAUCACCUCUGAGACCCACCUUGCUCAUAAACAAAAUGCCCAUGUUGGUCCUCUGCCCUGGACCUGUGACAUUCUGGACUAUUUCUGUGUUUAUUUGUGGCCGAGUGUAACAACCAUAUAAUAAAUCACCUCUUCCGCUGUUUUAGCUGAAGAAUUAAAAAAAAAAAAAGAAAA
RNAcentral lists this long non-coding RNA (438 nucleotides) under Homo sapiens (human). Its description in RNAcentral is "lncAB384.1". The record is from RNAcentral. Lineage: Eukaryota; Metazoa; Chordata; Mammalia; Primates; Hominidae.